RNAcentral lists this ribosomal RNA (1024 nucleotides) under Actinomycetota bacterium. Its description in RNAcentral is "Actinobacteria bacterium partial 23S ribosomal RNA". It matches the Rfam family "Bacterial large subunit ribosomal RNA", at positions 1908 to 2925 of the family's 2925-position model. Lineage: Bacteria; Bacillati; Actinomycetota. The record is from RNAcentral.
UGAACCUAAGCCCCAGUAAACGGCGGCCGUAACUAUAACGGUCCUAAGGUAGCGAAAUUCCUUGUCGGGUAAGUUCCGACCUGCACGAAUGGCGUAACGACUUUCCUACUGUCUCAACCAUAGACCCAGCGAAAUUGAAGUACGAGUAAAGAUGCUCGUUAGCUGCAGAAGGACGGAAAGACCCCGUGGACCUUUACUACAGCUUGGUAUUGGUAUUUGUUAUGCGUUGUGUAGGAUAGGUGGGAGACUUUGAAGCGUUGGCGCUAGCCGAUGUGGAGUCAACCUUGAAAUACCACCCUGCGUUUGACGGAUAUCUAACCUGGGCCCGUUAUCCGGGCUGGGAACAGUGCCAGGUGGGUAGUUUGACUGGGGCGGUCGCCUCCUAAAUUGUAACGGAGGCGCCCAAAGGUUCUCUCAGUCUGGUUGGCAAUCAGACGUCGAGUGCAAUGGCACAAGAGAGCUUGACUGCGAGACUUACAAGUCGAGCAGGUGCGAAAGCAGGGCAUAGUGAUCCGGCGGUUGCGUGUGGAAGCGCCGUCGCUCAACGGAUAAAAGGUACCCCGGGGAUAACAGGCUUAUCUUCCCCAAGAGUCCAUAUCGACGGGAAGGUUUGGCACCUCGAUGUCGGCUCAUCGCAUCCUGGGGCUGAAGCAGGUCCCAAGGGUUGGGCUGUUCGCCCAUUAAAGCGGUACGCGAGCUGGGUUUAGAACGUCGUGAGACAGUUCGGUCCCUAUCCUCUGCAGCCGGAGGAGAUUUGAGAAAGGCUGUCCCUAGUACGAGAGGACCGGGACGGACGUAGCUCUAGUGUGCCAGUUGUUCCGCCAGGAGCAUGGCUGGUUGGCCACCUACGGAAGGGAUAACCGCUGAAAGCAUCUAAGUGGGAAGCCCGUUUCAAGAUGAGAUCUCCCACCGGGAAACCGGGUAAGGCCCGUGGCAGACCACCACGUUGAUAGGCCGGAGGUGUAAGCACGGCAACGUGUUCAGCCGACCGGUACUAAUCGGCCGAGGGCUUGGUUACAUAACA